CUUGGGUUCAGUGUCACUCCGUUUGAUAUUUAAAGAGUCCGUCUCAUCAUUUGAGGGCUCAUGUUCCUCCGUAGAGACAUUUUUUCCAGCCAAAAGAGAUACAGGUAUGGGAGGAGAUUUAUCUGCGAUCAAAGGUCAAAUACGAACCCCCGAUUAUAUUCUGGAUGGCUUCUUGUGCUUUUUGAACGCCGAGUCUGAACCCGUCAAAUUCGGAGCGAAUCCUCAUACCUCUGUAAUAAUAAACGAGGCUGAGUUCAAAAUCUCCAAGAUGAUAGAGCGCCUCUGCCUUGUAAUACAUCGCCCUGGCGUUGCUUGGUUCCUUUGAAUUUUCCUGGAGAGCAGCCUCGGCAUCCUGUAGAGCCUUUUGGGGCUCCCCAAGAAGAAGGGUGUCUAUCGUGGCCGAAGUUCCGAUCGUUGAAGAAUCACCCAGAGUAGCUGUCCUUCCAUCUCGCUUGGUCGUUUGCCUACCACCACCGUAUUUUCCUCUGCGAUUUCCAUUUGCGCCUCCACGAUCGACGCUCUCCUCAAGACCGACCCGUACAAAACUCAGGAGGAAAUCGUUCGAUUGCAACGUUGGAUUGAGGAUUUCUGUUGCCUGAGCACUCGCCAUAUCUGCAGACGCGAGUUCGCCAGCGAUAACAUCCGGAACGUACCAAGGGUGUGUUGCUGCUCCCAAGUAAAAGUGAACCAGAGUUUCACCCUCUCUUGUAAUUCACCAGGGAGGUUCAAUCUUCUCAUAUAUUCAAGAGUCUCGUCAACCAGCUUCCGGUAUUCCGUUCUCG
This is a long non-coding RNA of Athalia rosae (coleseed sawfly), 782 nucleotides long. RefSeq lists it as uncharacterized. The transcript is spliced from 4 exons. Lineage: Eukaryota; Metazoa; Arthropoda; Insecta; Hymenoptera; Athaliidae. The record is from RefSeq and is a predicted model, not a curated record.